This 253-nucleotide ribosomal RNA is filed under the name uncultured bacterium. RNAcentral's name for it is "partial 16S ribosomal RNA". It matches the Rfam family "Bacterial small subunit ribosomal RNA", at positions 524 to 776 of the family's 1533-position model. The record is from RNAcentral.
UACGGAGGGUGCAAGCGUUAUUCGGAAUUACUGGGCGUAAAGCGCACGAAGGAGGUUUUGUUAGUCGGAUGUGAAAGCCCUGGGCUUAACCUGGGAAUUGCAUUCGAUACUGCUUGUCUAGAGUAUGGUAGAGGGAGGUGGAAUUUCCGGUGUAGCGGUGAAAUGCGUAGAUAUCGGAAGGAACACCAGUGGCGAAGGCGACUUCCUGGGCCAAUACUGACGCUGAGGUGCGAAAGCGUGGGUAGCAAACAGG